Molecule: ribosomal RNA, 252 nt
Filed under: uncultured bacterium
Lineage: Bacteria
Description: partial 16S ribosomal RNA
Rfam family: Bacterial small subunit ribosomal RNA
Source: RNAcentral
UACGGAGGAUGCGAGCGUUAUCCGGAUUUAUUGGGUUUAAAGGGUGCGUAGGCGGUCCGUUAAGUCAGCGGUAAAAUUGCGGGGCUCAACCCCGUCGAGCCGUUGAAACUGUCAGACUUGAGUUGGCGAGAAGUACGCGGAAUGCGCGGUGUAGUGGUGAAAUGCAUAGAUAUCACGCAGAACCCCGAUUGCGAAGGCAGCCUUCCGGCGCCCUACUGACGCUGAGGCUCGAAAGUGCGGGGAUCGAACAGG